GAUGAACGCUGGCGGCGUGCCUAAUACAUGCAAGUCGAGCGAACAGACGAGGAGCUUGCUCCUUUGACGUUAGCGGCGGACGGGUGAGUAACACGUAGGUAACCUACCUAUAAGACUGGGAUAACUUCGGGAAACCGGAGCUAAUACCGGAUAAUAUUUCGAACCGCAUGGUUCGAUAGUGAAAGAUGGCUUUGCUAUCACUUAUAGAUGGACCUGCGCCGUAUUAGCUAGUUGGUAAGGUAACGGCUUACCAAGGCAACGAUACGUAGCCGACCUGAGAGGGUGAUAGGCCACACUGGAACUGAGCCACGGUCCAGACUCCUACGGGAGGCAGCAGUAGGGAAUCUUACGCAAUGGGCGAAAGCAUGACGGAGCAACGCCGCGUGAGUGAUGAAGGUCUUCGGAUCGUAAAACUCUGUUAUUAGGGAAGAACAAACGUGUAAGUAACUGUGCACGUCUUGACGGUACCUAAUCAGAAAGCCACGGCUAACUACGUG
Molecule: ribosomal RNA, 497 nt
Filed under: uncultured bacterium
Lineage: Bacteria
Description: partial 16S ribosomal RNA
Rfam family: Bacterial small subunit ribosomal RNA
Source: RNAcentral